UUAAAAAUACAAUUACUAAGAUGAAACACCCGAGGGUGAGUCCUACUUUUAUGAAUUCUGUCAGAACACCGUUGGAUUCCUCGUGGCCACCAAAGCUCUGCUAUCUAGAACCUGGAGGGGCGCAAAACAAAAUUGAGUGGUCAGUAAAACAAAGUUUUUCGAAAACCUUUCAUUUAAAACAUUUCUAACCCCUCGCUGUAAAACUUGUAUACUUCCCCAGAAAAAUAGUAUAUAAACAUAUAUAUAUCAUCAAAAGCUCAAAUUACAAUCCUUCAACGCUUUUCAGAAAGAAUAUGCCAUGCCAUGCCAUGCCAUAUGCCAAAAUAUAAUAUGAAUGCAUCAAUAUAAAUUACAUGAAAUAAUAAAUCAACCGGAGACCCUACAGUGGUCCUGUACGGCUGAUUCUAUAGCUCAAUAUCCCAUCCAGCCGGAGUCACCAACUGUGACCUGUACGGCCCUGCCGGAGUCACCAACUGUGACCUGUACAGCACUACACUGCACGUAAGUCGGAACUACCUAUAGUAGUCUGUACGACUAAGAUGGUGAAAUAAUACGCUCUAGUGCUUCUCAUCAAUCAUCGGUGCGCAUAAUCUAAGGUCACCUACCAGUCGGAACCCCUCUAAUGGUCUGUACGAUUGGCAUGUCGGAACCACCUCUAGUGGUCUAUACGACAUCCACCUACUUGGAUCUAAGGCGAGCGUGCGGUGUGGUGAAUAAUAUAAGCACUAACACCAUUAUUGCAGGUUAUAAGCUAUCAACAUAAUAUACAUCAUCAAUGAUUCACAUGAAUAACAUAAAACUCACCUGAUACUUACCUGUGCGUCCACAGCACCAAUUCACAUAUAUAUAUAUAUAUAUAUAUAUAUAUAUAUAUAUAUAUACAUAUAUACAUCAAUAUCAAUUCAUAUAAUUAUAAUAUGCAUCAUGGCAAUUGAAAACAUACUUUCAUAUAUAUUCAAUUUCUUGGGCAAUUAAUAGUAUAUAGGUAAUACGAAAAAAACAAAAACUGCCCACUCACCUGGAGUUCGCCCUACAACUCCCUAGCACAAUACAUCAAGGCGUCAUGACGAUCGGCGCCUAAAAAAAUAAUCAAAUCCAACCUCAGAAAUCAUAUCGAUAGAAUAUAUAACUUAUAUAAAACACGUCACUACGCAGUUCGAUCCGGAAGAUCUGCAACUCAUAUUUCAAAUCCAUAACUUCCAGACGUCCACAAUAUACCUCUAGGACAACAUCCUAAAAUUUCAUUACCAUCCAACGGUCGGAUCUCCGUCAAUUUCCAAAACCAAGUGACGGUUAACAUUCUAUUUUAUGAACUUACAACUCCAAUUCCGGAAGAUCCGUAACUCGGAUUCCCAAUCCGUAAGUUCCUAUAAUCCUCAAAUAUUACGUAUUACAACGUAUCAAAGUUUGGUGAUGAUCCAACGGUCAGAUCGUCAAUUCACAUUUUCACCUAACCACGAAUCGUAACCAACUUAGGUUCAAUUACUCAAUUUACGUCCAUCAAUUAUCAAAAUUGAACCUAGAACCUUAAACACAUGCUAAGAAUGACAUUGGCGGGCCAUUGGCCAUGCACCGCCGGGUUAAUACUAUAUAAAAGUUAUUUAAAGCAUAUAACCAACAAUUCUCAAUAACUUCUCAUAUGGUGCUCAAUUUGGGUAUAUGAAUAUACCACAAUGACCUACUCGACGUCACGAUCGUCGAGAAAUUUUUAAAAUAAUUUUUGGGCUUGUCAUGUGCCCCCACAGGCCAAGAAGGGCACGGGUUCACGCGCCCCCACGCGCGUCUCCUACAUUGGUUCGCCGGUUUCUGGGCAGUUUUUCAAAUCGCUAUAACUUUGUCAUUUCUUCACCAUUUUCAACGUUCUUUAUAUCAAAAUGAAGAUCUUGACGAGAUGAACACAUCCAUACCUACCUCGACCCCUAACUCUCCGUGGUUUGGUCGGAAAACGCCUCGAAAGGCACGGGUCAAACUUGAACUUUUUGAUCUCGAUAUUCUUACGUCCAAAAACCUCCAACGAACUACCCCAAGCCUCCUAAGGACCUCACGAAGCUUCCUACAAGCUUGAAAACUCCUAAAAAUCAACCAAUACAAAGUUGAUAAAUAGUGUCAAACUCGGUGCUUGUGAUUCCGACGUGAAAACGUUGAAGUUCUUACCUGAAAUGGGUAUGGAUGAACUCGUAUCGAUGAGAUGAAGACGAUAGUGGUCUUUGUUUCCUCGAUCUGUAAAUAUUUGAAGGUCAAUGGGUGUCGUCCGUACGAGUUGCAGAGAGAGAAAAAAGCUGAGAGAGAAGAGAGAGAGGGUGCGGGGAAGGAGAGAGAGAAGAGGGUGGUUUGUGUGGGUGUGUACGUGUCCCGUAUGUGAUCCAUCCAAAUCAAACCAUAACCCAACUUUCUUUAAGUCUCUAGUUCACUUAGGUCCAACUUUAGUAUAAUCAUCCAAAAAUCAACUUAAUUAAGUCACACAUACACACAACCCCACUUGACGACCAAGGGUAAUUUCGUAACUUCACGUCCUCGGAAAUGAAAUUCCGGAACGGGCUGUGACAUAUACUACACCCAACCAAGCAACAUUUAUCUAGCUUGUAGGUAAAUUAAUUUCCAUGUAUUGUUAGAUAUGUUAGGCACAUUUUAUUGUUGUAUAAACAUGGGUGUAACAUAGUAUUUUUAAUAUUCUGCAACAAACUACAUUUCUUCUUAAUAUAGGUAAAUUAUUUUCCAUGUAUUAGUAAAUAUGUUAGGCACGUUUUGUUGUUGGUAUAAACAUUUUUUUGCAUCAUUAUAAAAAAGAGAUAUUAUAUUACACCCAUGGUAUAAUUGUUGUAGGUAAAUUAAUGUGCAUGUAGAUAAUGACAUACUGUCACAGCCCGUCCCAAGAAACAUUUAUCGUUAAUGUGAAAAGAUUAGUUUACCCUUGGACAUUAAAAUGUGUAGUGCGAUUUAUUUUGAAUUGGAUUAAUUAAGUUUUUCCUAAGUUUUUGAAACCGCUUAGGAACUAAGAAACUUUGGUUGUGAUUGGGUUGUUGGCUAGUUUUGGAUCACACAUCACUCAUCCAUCCUCUCUCUUCCUCCCUGUGCUCUCUCUCUUACACUCAAACUCUCUCUCUCUUCGAACUCGUACGGACUCACACAAUCAAACCCAAAACAACACGGAUCGAAGGUUCUGAGGUCUCCAGUGUGUUCUUAGGAUCCUUACGAGUCGAGUGGUACCCAUCUUCAGCAAGGAAACAUUCGAGAAACCCUAGUUUGAAAAGGAGCCGUGGGUGUACAAUACACCAAACCAGUUCGUGGAGGUUUCAAGGUGUUCUAAGGCUCAAAAGGUAAUCUCCUAGUCCUCUUGGUUGUUUUGGCAUAAAUUGGAACGAUUUUGGAUGUUAGAAAACCCCGAAAAAUGGACCUUCGACUUGGGUACUAUUCAUCAACUUUUAAACCCUUGAGUUUUUGUGAAUUUUAGGACCACAGUGACCUCAAAGAGGUCCUCACGAUGCUCGGAGUGCAUUGUUGGUAGGAUUUGAGUCACGGGAAGCUCAAAAACGGAGUUUUGCAGUGGUCGCCGGAGUUCGAGGACUUCUCUGACGUGAUUUCACGUGAUUUGAGGCGUGAAAGAGGUUUAACGCGAUUCAUUUUGAUGGAAAUUGCAUGAAAAAUAGUGAAGAAAGCGAGAGCGAGAAAGAGUUUGAAAAAUUGCCCAGUUUUUAAGCUUGCAGUUCGAAAAGGUUGUGGAGGUUGGAGCUGGAGGUAAGAGGUGAAGGAAUAUUCCAUCAAGUAUGACAGAAUAUUCUCAUGCCGUUAGUUAGAUUUAACGGUAACAGUUAGAAGUUAGAACUUCCUGACGGAAUUAACUGACGGCGUAACUGACCGUCAGUAUGCCUAGCACAUGGCAGCGUGUGGGUGGCGCGUCUGGCCGUGCCAUUGUCGGCGCGUGAGGCUUCCAAAAUUUUUUCUAAAAAUAUUGGGAUGAUCUUGAGGUUGUGUAGGUCACUGUGGUGUAUUCAUAUACCCAUUUUGAGCAAUGUAUGAGAAGUUAUUAAUUAGUUAGUUUGCCUAUGUGCUUUAAAAAUAACAUUUGUAGUUAGUUCGCAUAUAGGUGAGACUUAUACAACGAACGAAUCCAGGACAAGGAUCACCCUUGACUUAAGGGUUAACAUUAACCGACCCGUUGAUACAAUUGUGAGUGGGAAUUUUUAUGUUCAUACCAAACCAGUUGUGUAUAGUUUCAUCAGGACAUUUUGAAGAGUUGACUUGAAACUUAAGUUUCAUACCCAGCCUACAUUAGAUAAACUAUGUAGGUUAUAUUAUAAACGAGUAAAACAUCGAUUUUUGGUGUUUACUUAUUUUGCAGUGAAUUUGCCGGAUUGGCAUGUGAAGUUAGAGAAUAAAGACUAAAACGGAAUUCAGCACGUACAGUGACUACCGGUUAGUUGACAGGUAGGUUCGAACUUAACAUAUCUAGUUUACAUCACUUAGUGAGUGGGUUUAUUUUGUUUUGAGGUUGUUAUGGCCACUUGAUUUUUUACUCCAUUUGCAAUGUAUGCAUGGCAUAGUCUUUGUAAAUUUUGUUAAGCCAUUAAUUGCAUUGUUUACUUGAUGUGACUUGACUAAUGUGAUGUGUUGUCAGUAUGGAUCCACUAAGAUUUUUGUAAUGUAUUUAUGAAUGUAUUAUAUUCUGAAUUGAGCAUAACUAUUAUACACCCAAUGAAUUUGUACAGACUUCGAUUAUGUGUAAUUGUUAGGUCAUUGCAGUGACUCCGGCUAGAUUGACUUAGAACUAUGAAUUCAGCCGUACAGAGUACCACAGGGGUUCCAGCUAACAUUCAUAUUUCUAUGAAUUUAUUAUUACCUGAAUUGCUUACUUUGUUAUAUAUUGGCAUGGCAUAUAUUUGAAUAUGAUUAUGUGAAGCAUGAAUUGAAUUGAUAUGAUUUCAUAUAUAUAUAUAUGUGUGUGUGUGUGUGUGUGUGUGUGUGUGUGUGUGUGUUAUUUAUGUAAUGUUGUGCUUAUAUUUCUGAUUCUGGGAAAAAAUUAUACAUGUUUACAACGAGGGUUAGAUAUGUUGAUAAAGAAAAUGAUUUUGUAAAACAUUUGUUUUUGCCUACUCACGUUUUCUGUUUUGCCCCCCUCCAGGUUUUAAGUAAACUUGUUGUUGAUGGCUUGAGGACGUCGGCGAUUCUGACCUAUCUAAAUAAUAGUAGGACAUUCCUAGUACUGUAUAAUUAGUACUUGUCCUACUAGACUACACUAGUAAUACUCUGUCCCUGACUGUAGACUAACACCUGCUCUGCUCUUUAUGAGUGUUUACUGUGUAACUAACUCCUCCUCACUUCCUGUUUAGUAGUGCACUCUAGUAAUUUGGUUUUUAAUUAUUCGUAUAAUUCUUAUCUUUAUUGCUUCCGCACUGUGCACAUGGCUACGUCACUUUCACGUAAUGGCCAGCAUGACUUGAUCUCGGUCGGGGUGUGUCAGCUUUGUAUCAGAGCCUAGGCUUAUCAGCCCUGUAUAAUUCUUGAAUAUUCUAAUCCUUGUGAUGUCUUAUGUCAGAACUAUGCCGCCUCGUAGAGAGCCCCGUCAAUCAGCUGAAUCUAGUUUUCCUGAUAUUGCUCAAUUAGGGGAAGCUAUAGUUUCUGCCAUUCAGACAGCAUUCCAUACUCCCAGAUAACACCUCUUGAGACAGUUCAUAAUCUGAAGUUGACUCACUUCAUUGGAAAUAAAGAUCAUGAGGGGGCAGAAAAAUGGCUGAAUCAUGUGGAAAAGACCUUUCAGGUGAUGCAGAGUCAGGGGAAUCUUUCUUCUGAUAAGUGGAUUGAGACUACUACCUAGUUUUUGGGAGAACAACCUGCAUCCUAGUGGAGACAGGAGUCUUACCAGUUGACCCCAGCAUAGAUUGUGGACUGGGGAGUGUUUAAGGAGCUAUUUCGGAAAAAGUUCAUUCCUCCUGCAUAUAUCGAUAGUAAGAAACAGGAGUUUACUCAUCUGAGGCAAGGAAAUAUGUCUGUUAAUGAGUAUUACAGGAUGUUUACUGAUCUGUCGAGAUAUGAUCCCGAGGUUGCUGCUAAUCCGAUAGAAAUGCUUCGCCGUUUUAGUUUGGGUACCAAGAAGAAAUGACGUUCCAUAGCGACAUCGACUCACUGUGCCUCUUACCAGGAGUUUUAUGAGAUUCUUCUGAGGAUUGAGGCCUCAGAGAACAUGCCUAGUGAAAGUGAGGAUGAGGAAGGAAAAAAUGGGGGCCAGAGACGAGAUGACAAAGGAAAAUGGCAAGCAUUUCAAGGACCCCGCAAGACCCAGAACUUUAAGAGGAGUGGUGGCAGUUCCAGCUCUUCUAGCGGAUGAUUGAGUACUAAUAUGCAGAGGAGAGGUGGUAGAUUUACUGGAGGCUCUAGGUUCCAGAGGCAAAGAGAUUUUGAUGGUUCAGGUGGAUCUGGUGCUCCCUUAUGCCACAAGUAUAAUAAUCGGCAUUUUGGGGAGUGUAGGAGAGACAGCAAUGGAUGUUUUACUUGUGCACAGAUGGGUCAUAGGGCUGCCCAAUGUCCUCAGAGUCAGCAGAGACCCCAGCAGUCUUCUUUCCCACCACCUGCACCGACCUAGUAAGCUUCAGGAUCUGGUGGCUAUACUCAGACUGGACGAGGAGGUGCCUACCACUAUCAGGGUGACGCCGCUCCCUACACCUCAAGACAUCAUCAAUAUUCUCAAGACCCUUAGUAUCAGGGAGGAUUUAUGUCUUAUCAGCCACAUUCAGCUGGUGGAUCUCAGUAGUACCAAGGGGGACAUCCCCAACAAGGAGAGAUUGCUGCUAGUAGUGCAAGAUCUUCGAGGCAGUCAGGUCAGCAAAGGCAGGGAUGUGGUAUUCAUGCCAACAGAGUUCGCAGUGGACGACAGCAGAAUCAAGGGCGUAUCUAUAACAUGUCACUGCAAGAUGCCCAGAAUAAUCCAGAUUUAAUUAUGGGUACGUUAUCUAUUCUUGGUCAUUUUGCUAGAGUAUCGAUUGAUUGUGGUGCUACACAUUUUGUUAUUUCUCAUACAUUUGCUCAAGUGACACAACCUCAUCCUACACCUCUAGGAUAUAAUUUAGAAUUUUCUAUGCCUAGAGGGGAUAGAUGUUUUGUGAAUCGGGUAUAUCCAGGAUGUCCAAUGAUAGUAGAGGAUAUUAUUAUGCCGGCUAAUCUUAUGCCGUUGGAUAUUAUGGAUUUUGAUGUGAUUUUGGGCACUAAUUGGUUGCCCUAUAAUCAUGCCAAGAUAGAUUGUUAUGGGAAGACAGUCACAUUUCGUUGUCCUGGAUUACCUGAAGUUACAUUUGUAAGAGAACCUAGUGGGAUGAGGCAUGGUAUUAUUUUAGCCAUGAAAGCAAAGAGACUGUUGUUGAAAGGUUGUCAAAGAUAUUUGGCUCAUGUGGUAAAGAGACUAUUGUUGAAAGGUUGUCAGGGAUAUUUGGCUCAUGUGGUGUUGAAUGAUGAUGCUCCUAGUAGUGUGGAGGAUGUUCAUGUGGUUAGAUAUUUUCCGGAUGUAUUCCCUGAGGAUUUGCCUGGAUUGCCGCCAGAUAGAGAGGUGGAGUUUGUUAUUGAUCUGCUUCCAGGUACAAAUCCCAUAUCCUUAACUCCUUAUAGAAUGGCUCAUGCUGAAUUAAGGGAAUUGAAAGUUCAAUUACAAGAGUUAGUGGAUAAAGGUUUUAUUCAGUCGAGCACUUCACCUUGGGGAGUUCCAGUUUUAUUUGUGAGGAAGAAAGAUGGAACUUUGAGGUUGUGCAUUGAUUAUAGGCAACUGAAUCGAGUAACCAUUAAGAACCGUUAUCCAUUGCCUCAUAUAGACGACUUAUUUGAUCAACUCAGAGGUGCCUGCAUAUUUUCUAAGAUUGACUUGAGGUCGGGAUACUAUCAAUUGAAGAUUAAAAAUGAAGAUGUCCCUAAAACCGCAUUCAGGACUAGAUAUGGUCAUUAUAAGUUUCGUGUGAUGUCAUUUGGGUUAACUAAUACACCAGCAGCUUUUAUGGAUUUGAUGAAUUGAGUAUUCCAGCCAUAUUUGGACAGGUUUGUUAUUGUCGUCAUUGACGAUAUUCUGGUAUACUCUAAGGCUAAGGCUGAGCAUGCUAGACAUCUAAAGUUGGUGUUGAGCAGUUUGAGGGAACACUAACUAUAUACUAAGUUUAGCAAAUGUGAAUUAUGUUUGAAUCAAGUGGCAUUUUUGGGACAUGUCAUUUCUGCUCAAGGCAUUCAAGUGGAUUCUCAUAAAGUGGCAGCUAUGGAGAAUUAGGAGCAACCUCGAACCGUCACCGAGGUACGGAGUUUUCUUGGUUUAGCAGGCUAUUAUAGAUGGUUCGUUAAGGAUUUUUAGUGAUUGCUUUGCCAUUGACGAGGUUGACGCAAAAGGAUGCUAAGUUUGAGUGGGAUAAUAAAUAUGAGCAAAGUUUCUAGCAGUUAAAGUACUAUCUUACUCAUGCUCAUAUUAUAGCGCUUCCAAAUGAUAGCGGUAAUUAUGAGGUUUAUAGUGAUGCUUCUCUGAAUGGUUUGGGUUGUGUAUUAAUGCAACAUGGUAGGGUGAUUGCUUAUGCUUCGAGACAGUUGAAACCUCAUGAGAAGAAUUACCCUACACAUGAUUUGGAAUUAGCAGCUAUCAUCUUUGCCUUGAAGAUUUGGAGACAUUAUCUUUAUGGUGAGAAAUGUAAGAUCUUUACAUAUCAUAAGAGUCUUCAGUAUUUGUUUACUCAGAGAGAUCUUAAUCUUCAACAGCGGAGGUGGAUUGAGUUACUUAGUGACUAUGAUUAUACGAUUGAGUAUCAUCUUGGUCGUGCAAAUGUAGUGGCAGAUGCACUUAGUAGGAAGACUCCAGCCAGACUCAGUGCCAUCUAUGAUUAUCAUGUUCCUCUUCUAGAAGAUUUGAGGUCCAUUGGAGUGGAGUUAGGAGUGGAAGAUCGAGAAGAAGCUUUGCUUGCUAAUUUUCAAGUUAGGCCAAUUUUAAUUGAUCGUGUGCUCAAGGCUUAGAUGAAUGAUGAGGAGACACAAGAAAUACUCCAAGCAAGGAACCAAGGCAAAAAGAAAGAUUUUGGAAUUCGAGAAACUGAUGGCAUGCUUAUGCAGGAAAGCAGAAUGUAUGUGCCGAAUAAUGCAAAGUUAAAGAAAGAAAUUUUGGAUGAAGCGCAUAUUUCGUCAUAUGCGAUGCAUCCAGAAGGCACUAAAAUGUAUCAUACCAUUAGACCAUUUUAUUAUUGGCCGAGUAUGAAAAGAGAAAUUGCCGAAUAUGUGAGUAGGUGUGCCAUUUGCCAACAGGUUAAAGCUGAAAGGAAGAAGCCUUUUGGGUUGAUGCAGCCACUUCCCGUUCCACAGUGGAAAUGGGAAAAUAUUACUAUGGAUUUUGUGUACAAGCUUCCUCGCACACAGAAUGGUUAUGACGGCAUUUGGGUGGUAGUUGAUCGGCUUACGAAGUCAGCGCAUUUUAUUCCAGUGAGAGAGAAGUAUUCGUUAAGCUAAUUAGCUAAGUUAUUUAUAUCGCAGAUUGUGAAGUAUCAUGGUGUGCCAGUUAAUAUUAUCUCAAAUCGGGAUCCUAGAUUUACUUCCAAGUUCUGGAUAGCAUUCCAGGAAGCUCUUGGUACGAGAUUGCUUUAUAGCACGGCAUAUCACCCUCAGACAGAUGGACAAUCUGAGAAAACUAUUCAGACAUUAGAGGAUAUGUUGAGAUCUUCAGUGCUGCAGUUUGGAGAUAGUUGGCAUGAUUGUUUGGAUUUGAUGGAGUUCGUCUACAACAACAGUUACCAUUCGAGUAUUGGGAUGGCACCAUUUGAGGCACUAUAUGGGAAAUCUUGUCGUACGCUUGGUCAGAGGAUGGCAAAAGAGUUUUAGUGGGCCCUGAGAUUAUGGAUGUGACUACUCAAAAUGUUCAGGUAAUUAAGUCUAACCUAAAAAUGGCCCAAGAUCGACAAAAGAGCUUAGCAGACAAGCAUGCCACUGAUCGAAAGUAUAAUGAAGAUGAUUAGGUAUUUCUAAAGCUAUCACCUUGGAAAAGUGUUGUACGAUUUGGAAAGAAAGGAAAGUUGAGUCCUAGGUACAUUGGACCAUACAUGAUCACCGAGCGAGUCGAUGAGGUUGCUUACAAGCUUGAGUUGCCUCCAGAGUUGUCCAAGGUGCACGAUGUAUUUCAUGUUUCGAUGCUUCGACAUUAUGUUUCGGAUCCUUCACAUGUGAUUCCUCCUCAAACUUUGGAAAUUAAUCCGGAUUUGACUUAUGAUGAGGAACCAGUGACUCUGUUGGAUUGGAAGAAUAAGGAAUUGAGGAACAAGACCAUGUGCUUAGUGAAAGUAUUAUGGAGAAAUCAUUCAGUAGAAGAAGCUACUUGGGAGACAAAGGAUCGGAUGAGAGAGAUAUAUCCACGCUUGUUUUAUGAUUAUUAGUGGAUGUAAUUGUUAUGCAUAAUUUCGAGGACGAAAUUUUAUAAGGUGGGAAAAUUGUCACAGCCUGUCCCGAGAAACAUUUAUCGUUAAUGUGAAAAUACUAGUUUACCCUUGGACGUUAAAAUGUGUAGUGUGUGCUUUAUUUUGAAUUGGAUUAAUUAAGUUUUUCCUAAGUUUUUAGAACCACUUAGGAACUAAGAAACUUUGGUUGUGAUUGGGUUGUUGGCUAGUUUUGGAUCACACAGCACUCCUCCAUUUUCUCUCUUCCUCUCUGUGCUCUAUCUCUCUCACAAUCUAACUCUCUCUCUCUUUUCGAACUCGUACGGACUCACACAAUCAAACCCAAAACAACACAGAUCGAAGGUUCUGAGGUUUCCAGUGUGUUCCUAGGAUCCUUACGAGUCGAGUGGUACCCAUCUUCAGCAAGGAAACCUUCGAGAAACCCUAAUUUGAAAGGGAGCCGUGGGUGUACAAUACACCAAACCAAUUCGUGGAGGUUUCAAAGUGUUCUAAGGCUCAAAAGGUAAUCUCCUAGUCCUUUUGGUUGUUUUGGCAUAAAUUGGAACGAUUUUGAACGUUAGAAAACCCCGAAAAAUGGACCUUCGACUUGGGUACUAUUCAUCAACUUUUAAACCCUUGAGUUUUUGUGAAUUUUAGGACCACAGUGAGCUCAAGGAGGUCCCCACGAUGCUCAGAGUGCAUCGUUGGUAGGAUUUAAGUCACGGGAAUCUCGAAAACGAAGUUUUACAGAAGUCGCAGGAGUUCGAGGACUUCUCCGACGUGAUUUCAUGUGAUUUGAGGCAUGAAAGAGGUAUAACACGAUUCUUUACCUCAUAAACUUCAUUUUGGUGGAAAUUGCAUGAAAAAUAGUGAAGAAAUGAGCGAGAUUAAAGAGUUGAAAAAUUGCCCAGUUUUUUAUGCCGACGACGGUUGCCGAAGCUGGAGGUAGGAAGUGAAGGAAUAUUCCAUGAAGUAUGACAGAAUAUUCUCACGCCGUUAGUUAGAUUUAACGGUAACAGUUAGAAGUCAACGGAAUAUUCCUGACGGCGUUAACUGACGCCGUCAGUAUGCCUGGCACAUGGCCUUGUGUGGGGGGCGCGUCUGGCCAUGCCAUUGUCGGCGUGUGAGGCUUUCAAUUUUUUUUCUAAAAAUAUGGGGAUGAUCUUGAGGUUGUGUAGGUCACUGUAGUGUAUUCAUAUACCCAUUUUGAGCAAUGUAUGAGAAGUUAUUAGUUAGUUUUGCCUAUGUGCUUUAAAAUAACGUUUUUAUAGUUAAUUCGCAUAUAUGUGAGACUUAUCCUGAGGACGAGCGUAUCCACGGGCAACUCGGGGGUUACGAUCCGUUGACAUACCAGUGAGUGGGCUUUUGUUUUCAGUAUAUAUUUAUAUACUUGAUAUAUUUCCCAGAAAUGCAUUUUUUUAGGAAAGUAUGCUUUGAAAUUAUAUGUCAAAUGCUUUUAUAUUCUGAAUACGCAUUUCAUGGUAUAUAAAUGUGGUGAUGUGGAGGCAUAGGUGAGUUCAGGUAAGUUAUGUUUGGCUAUGUGAAUCAUCGAUGAUGUGGUAUGUGAUGGAUUGAUGUUGAGCUCAUAAAACUACACCUAGGGUGAUUGUGAUUUAGCCAGAGAUAUGAAGUACAUACCUGUUCAUUUAUGUCACCUCCCGCACUAUAUGCUCAUAUUGGAUCCAACUUAAGUGCACAGUCUUGUCGUACAGACCUUAAUUAUGGUUUCGACUGUUAGGUGACUUGCGAUUUAUGGCCCGGCUAUUAUGAGAGAUUAAAAUUGAGCAUAACUAUAUUACACCCAAUCUUGUAGUACAUACAUUUUUAGUGGUUCCGACUUAUGUGCAGUAUAUCGCCGUAUAGGUCAUUGUAGUGACUCCGGCUAGAUUGACUUAGAGUUAUGAAUUCAGCCGUACAGACACCACAGGGUUUCCGACUAACAUAUCAUAUUUCUAUGAAUUUAUUCUUACCUGAAUUGCUUACUCUGUUAUAUAUUGGCAUGACAUAUAUUUGAAUAUGAUUAUGUGAAGCAUGAAUUGAAUUGAUAUGAUUUCAUAUAUAUAUAUAUAUAUAUAUAUAUAUAUAUAUAUAUAUAUAUAUAUAUUAUGUAUAUGCUCAUAUUCUGAUUCUGGGAAAAAUUAAACAUGUUUUACAGCGAAGAGUUAGAUAUGUUGAUAAAGAAAAUGAUUUUGUAAAACAUUUGUUUUUACCCACUCACGUUUUCUGUUUUGUUCCCCUCCAGGUUUUAAGUAAGCUUAUUGUUGGUGGCUUGAGGACGUCGGCGGUUCUGACCUAUCUAAAUAAUAGUAGGACUUUCCUGGUAUUGUAUAAUUAGUACUUGUCCUAUUGGACUGCAUCUAGACUUAAUAUGCUCUGCUUAGGAGUGUUUACUGUUGUAACUAACUCUUAUCACUUCUUGUUUAGUAGUGCACUCUAGCUAUUCAGUUUUUAAUUAUUCGUAUAAUUCUUAUCUUUAUUGCUUCCGCACUGUACACAUGGCUGCGUCACUCUCACGUGACGGCCAAUAUGCCUUGAUAUCGGUCGGGGUGUGUCAAGUACAAAUUUCUAAUAUAUUAAAAAAAGGAUAAAUUCAAAAGUAUUCAAGAGUAGGGUGAAAAAAACUGAAUCAAAUAGUUUUAUGAAAAUUCAAAUCCUUUCUAAAAAAUUAAUAUGCAAUAAAUUUUUAACAUUAAUGUCUUUUUUUUUUCUUGUUGCAAAAUCAUUGACUCUCUCCUUACAAUUAAUUGUCUACAUCAAAUAUGUAAUAGGGGUAUUUUAGGCAUGUAAAAAUGUAAAAUGUGUGAAGUAAUAUGAAAUUAAUGAAUUUGCUUAUGUGGAUCCUAGUAAUUAGGUUUCCUAUGAGUAAAAAAGUUAUGUAGGGUUUGAUAUGAAGAAAAUUGAGUUGGAAGGGCUAAAAUUAUAUUUUUAGUAAAUAAAAUGAUAACUAGGAUUUAGUGGCCUCGAUGGGCUUAACAUUAGUAGUGGGUCAAAUAAGUAAUAGUCACAUCUAAUGGCCCAAUUGAUCCUCACAUGCAUUUUCCUCAUUUGGAUUCUAUUGUUCUUCUGCAUUUGCCCAACUUAGAGUUGCAUUUUACAAAUUUUAUGAUUAUUUGUUUCAAAAAUCAUUUGUCAAUUUGUUGAAAAAGUUGAAGGUUAUGAACUAUGAGCUCUCAUUUGGCUUUAAUACUCGGUGAGUAAGUUAUGCUAGUCUCAAAAUUUUGUGACUUUUUUUUUUGGAACAAACGAUAGUAUCUACACUAAAGGGGUGGGCAAGUGGGCUAAGCCUUUACAUUGGACCAGCCGUAAUAAUGUGGGUUAGCCAUAAAACUUUGUGACUAUUAAAUCGUCUGUAAGCACCAACGGUGGGCUCGACCAAAAGUCAUUCUAAAAAUAUACUUUAUGGACACUUAACAUUUAGUUUAAUAUAAGGACAAAAAUUAUUGUUUAAAGUAGUCUCAUGGAAUGUUAUACGCUAAAACUAAAACAAUAAGUCCAAGGAAUAUGUAAUAGUGAUUAUGCAAUCUAAGGAAAUUACAUUCAUGAGACCUUUUGUUUUCAUAAACGUAUCAUUUUCGUUCAUGACCAUAAAAUUGCUAAUUGAGCAUUGACAAUCCAGUAAGAUCAAGUACAUACUAUAUCUUCUCUCUUUAGAGAGUGACUAGUCUCGAGUUAUUAGUGUGAAAAACAACAACGCAUGUAUGUAGUUUCUCAAUAAAGAGUGAGUUCACUAAAUCGGACAAAACAGUUCCCAUACUCAUGCUAUAUGAGAACUCACUAGUUGGGAUAAAGCAAAGUAGUCAUUUGAUCUGAGAUGCUACAUUUGCCUUAUGGAUACAUCUUUGAUCAUAUCAUGCUUCAUAACCUAAGGUUCAUUCCGCACAUUGUUAGGAUCGCUGAUUUAUUCAUAGAGGCGUGUGAGUGUACAAUAAAAGAUCUCUUACCUUCAACUAUCGAUGAAGAAUACUCUAUGAUAUGUUUCAAGAGUCUAUAGUUAGAGUGCAUGAAUAUGAUUUAAGAAGUAUGUUCUAGAUCGCUUUCAUGGGAAUCACAUAGAUAGUAGAUAUGAAUAAACUAUCAACCAAACAAUGUGAUCAAGAGUAUUAAUUUGAAAAAUUACUGUAUUACAUUGUAAUUUCAAUUAAAUAGGUUAUCCACCUCUUCUGCUGAGCUUGGAUAGUCGUGACAUACUAUUAAGUGUCACUCAUGGCUUGUGGAAGCCCUAAGGAUUAGCACUCGCUAAUCUUCAUUAAAGGAAGAAUUAAAAAAUAGUUUCAGUUCAUAAUCAAUUAGUAAGAGCUCUAAUCACACAUUGCCUCAUUAUUAAGAACCUAAUGAAUUGUACUGAAAUAAAAGUUAAAUAAUUAAAUGAAAAGGUUCUUAUUGGCCCUUAAGUUAGUUUCGGGCUUCAUAGCCUAGUGGGCCCUUGAUCCAUCAAGCAUAACAAGUUAAAUGGUUUCACUUAAAACUACAAGCCCAAAAGUCCAACGAACACUAGUGUGAGACCGGCUCUAUAGUGAGAGAAUGCCACGCUUUGUAAUACCCUGUAUUUAACAAAAAAAUAUAAGUGUGUCUUUGUGUAUAUAUAUGUGGGUGAGCAAUUAUCUUAAUUCAAAUGUAAUGAUUUUCUUUGGGUUUCUGUAUGUUUAUACCAUAACUCGUAUUUUUUAUAUGUAAACUAGUCUCAGCGUAAAAUCCUUUUUGCUACAAAAUUAUUUCAAAACAAGUUAAUAUUAAUUUCACAUUCAUACUUAAUCAGAGAUGUUUUCAUUUGAAUUGAAGAACUAAGAUUAAAACGAGAUAAUAUGACAAUCAUGACUAGAGUUUGGCUUGAUUUUCUCACAAAGAUAAGAUGGCAUUUAGACAACCAUAGAGAAUAAAGAUAAGGGGUUAGUUACUACUCUAGAUAGGUUGAGGUGGGUUUAUUUAAUUUUUAGAGUAUGGAUGAGGCCUUUGGGUACCAAGAGGAUCCUCCAAUCACAUUCAUUCAUUCAUCGUAGAUCGUGCGGUCAUAAAUUAUUGUAAAUUUUUUUUUAUUUAAAAUUGAAUAUAAACAGUACCUGACAAAAACUAUCCGCACGAUGUACGAUGAAUGAAUGUGAUUAGAGGAUCCCCAGGAUCCUCUCUCCUUUUGGUAUUUGCCCACAUGCAUUGUAAUGAUUAUAAUCUUGUUCGGUUACCAUUACUUCCAAUGCUUGAUGUCCAAGUGUAGCAAAAGAUAUGAAAAGUGGCAUUGAAUGCUUAAUUGGAGAUUUCAUUUUUUUCUCCAAGUGAACCAUGGGACGAAUAGGAGACCAAGAAAACAACAGUAACACCACCCCAACAAAAAGAAGAAGAGCCAUUCUCCCACCAUAACUAUGGUAUAUGUUCACCAUACACCUAAUAAUUUGUCACCUUUUUUACCUAAUUCUAGUUAACUUUCACAUUAAAUGUUACUUUUUCAAUUUUGAAAAAAAAUUAACGAAGGUUAAGUCAAAGGACAUGUGACAUGACAAUGAUUAUACACCAUAAAUUAUGGUGAGCAUACACUAUAGAUUAUGAUGGUGAGCAAAAAUGCUUUCAUUUGUAAAUCCUCCAUACAUAGUGAAAUAGAAAGACAAACACCAUCUCAGUGGCUGUAAACACUACAAGAAAAUAUGGAUUAGGUGAUGAAAUUUUUUGUGGCGCGCAAAAAUUUAUCACAUUUGGGUAAAAUAAGUGACGCUUUUUUUAGAAACUGUCACAUAAUAAUUUUCACUGGACACUAAAAUACUUUGCGUCACAUAAACUUCUGAAUUUGCCACAAACUAUUGGGCAGAAAAUUUUACCGCCGAAUGAAAUGUUAAUAUGUGACCAAACUUUAAAAUUCAUUACAUAACAAAAAAGAAGGCCAGGUUUAUGCCAUUGGUCACAUAUAGUAUUAAAAUAAAAAAUAAAAAUAUACUGAAGAAAUUGUAUUAUUGAUAUAUAUAUAUACUAGAAAUUGAGCCCGCGCGAUGCCGCGGGUUUUAAAAUUAUGUUAAAUGUGUGAAAUAUAUUAAAACAUAUUCUCAACCAUAUCAAAAUUCAUAUACAUCCUAAUGUUCAACAAAGAACCAAAACAGUUUACAACAUGGUACUUGGCCCUCAAUAUGCAGAGAGCCCAUUCCCCAUCUUCAUUUUGCAAAAACAAUUCAUCAGUCAAUUUAUUCAUUUUUCUAUACCGAAAUUAAAGCUUUCUUAAAAAGCAUUAAUUUCAUGAAAAGCAUUCUUACCUGAUGAUUAUAGAGAUAUAUGCACAUCAUAACAGCAUUUAGACCUCCAGUAAUUGAAAGUGCAAUGAUCUAUUGCAAUUGGUAAGUAAUACUUAGUCACUCAACAAUUACGAAAUGGACCAAAUAAUAAAGAAAAAACCAAUCUUGGUUAAUUCAUUUAACUAAGAAGAAAGGCUGUGAAGUUCCGAAAUGAAUAUCCAGCCAUCUUUUGAAAUGUCAAAACUUACCUGGAAAUGCCGGAUUAGAUGGGUCUCAACCAAGUACGAAGCGAAUCCAAAAUGGGCACAAAUUUUCUGAAAUAAAAAACAAAAGCACAUGAGAUACUAAAAAAAGCCAUAAAAAAAAAAAGGGAAAUCAAAACCUUGUGUGGCAACAAACAUGCAGAACUUACCUUGAAAACCCAGAUCAAAGCAACCAAAAACCCAAAAAAAUUAUCGAAAUCAAACCAAAAAACCAGAUAAAUUAACAACCCUGACUACUAAUCGAAGAACAACAUAUGCGAGCCAUAAUCAACCAUUACACAUAUUUUGACAACAAUGUAGGAAAUCAGUGUAUCACAAAGUGAAAGCAAUCUCACAUUUGCCACACUUCUUAUUAGUAGAGCUAAACUACAAAAGCAGUCAACAAUUUAUGCCAUGAACAACUGAGGAUCAAAUACAUCUACUCUACAAUAUAAACAAAAAUUUGGAGGGACAGUUUGUAUGCUUUCCUAUUUCUCUCUGCGGUAAUUUUUCAUGUGUGGCUUUGUGCAUUCACACAUGCACAUUUGCCCACAUUUCUUUGCUGUUUUUUUUGUUACUAUUUGCCUUUCCUGAAUUUAUUAAGCAAAAUGUUAAAUUAUUCAUGUGUGAAUAGGUGGGUCUAGAGUCUGAAAUGGUGGGGGAAGCAUCUAGAUAAAACGUGGGGCUAAAACGGUGUGGGAACGAAGAGUGAGCCUGAUUCCAACAGAUACAAAGUAGUGGCAACAACCUCUAUUAAUAACCCCUAUUAAGUCAAUGAGUAGCCAACCUCUAUUUGUGCAGUUAUAUUUGGAACAUCCUAGUUUAUCUGAACCAAAUCCUUGAAAUGGGAACACAGUUGUUCAUAUGCAAGCAUGUCCGCUUAGCUGGUAUUGGCUUUACCUAAUUUACUUUUUAAGUCCAAUGUGAUAGAAAAUCCAUGUUUGUCUUGAUUUUACAUGAAAAAUACGAUGCAUGUCCCCUGAACAUACUGCUCAAGAAGCAAAUUUUGCUUGCUUGCAGCAUUUAGUAUAUAAACCACAAUAAGCAAUUUACUGAUCAUAAAAGAUAACUACGAAAUGAAAAAAUAUAAAAAUUUCAAUCUCAAAUUGUCUGCUGAUCUUAAAAACAAAAUCCAUGCAACUGAACCUAACUAAUACACAACUCGGCUGAGCCCAAGAUUUCAAUUUACUGGACAUAAAAGCAAAAGGUCACAUAAUUUUAUUAAGAUUUAUUUUCCUACGUUUUCUAGGCCCAUAUUACCAGUGAACGCCUAUUUUUCAACUAAAUAGGGAAUUUUCCCACGAAACUGAAAGCUAGGAACUUAGAACAAUGAAAUCAAACUUCAAUUAAACCAAUUUACAACCAGAUGAGAUGGAAAAUUAGCUAAUUAAUUAAUUAAUGAUUUAAUCAAGAACAAACCAAGAUAUCUACAACCCAAAUUAAACACAAAAUCAAGGUCCUUUCAGAAACAUAAGCUUAAGAAGACGAAAUCUGAAACCUUUCAAAAGCGCAGAAAUAGAGAGAAAAAUAUUGGGGGAAAAGUUGGGAAAUUUACCAAAGGGGUUUAGGUGGAGGCAUCUAGAGGAGACGAUCGGCAAGGCAGAUUGAAGCUCGAAAAGGCCGAGCUUGGACUCUGCGGCAGUGGCGAGAUCUAGGGUUUUUCCACAGAGAGAGGGAAACCUAGAUUGGGAAAAUAGGGAGAGAAAUAGACCUUGAUUCAAAGAAAAAUGGUGAAGCCCUAAAUCGAGCUGCUUGGUGCAGAGAAGAGUGAGGCGAGGAGGGAGACGGGGAGAGCAAGAGUCAAGCAGAGAAAAAGUGGGUCUACAGUCUGAAAUGGUGGGGAAGCAUCUAGAGAAGACGUGAUCUAAAACGGUGUGGGAACGAAAUGCGAACCUGAAAUAACAAAAAAGAAGCAGAGGUGAAAAUGGAAUGACACUGUCAAUGAAUAGUUUUUUUUUAUGUUGGGUUUUAGUAUAUGUAUAAUAUCUCUAUAUACUAAAACUUAGUAGGGAGGUACUGUGGAUGACCAGUGGGCGGACGAUUUUGCCCCUGGCUUUUUCAUCCGAUUGUUCUUCUCUUUGGUUUUUGGGGCAGCGAAAUGCCGCUUUUGCCCACUGCUUCCACGCGUCGGAUCCUCUAUUUGGAACCAGGAUCCUCUCCUGAGCAGUUUCCUAGGGAUCCUGCAAUCUUGUCCGUUCAUUUUAUAUCGUGCGGUCAGUUUUCGUUAGAUACUAUUCAUAUUUGAAUUUUAAAAUUUAAAUUUUAAAUAAUUUCUGACCGCACGAUA
Molecule: long non-coding RNA, 19105 nt
Filed under: Malus domestica (apple)
Lineage: Eukaryota; Viridiplantae; Streptophyta; Magnoliopsida; Rosales; Rosaceae
Description: long non-coding RNA (MDOM_LNC004527)
Source: RNAcentral